This 373-nucleotide ribosomal RNA is filed under the name uncultured bacterium. Its description in RNAcentral is "bacterial SSU rRNA". It matches the Rfam family "Bacterial small subunit ribosomal RNA", at positions 28 to 395 of the family's 1533-position model. The record is from RNAcentral.
GAUGAACGCUAGCGGCAGGCUUAAUACAUGCAAGUCGAGGGGCAGCAGGACUGUAGCAAUACAGUUGCUGGCGACCGGCAAACGGGUGCGGAACACGUACGCAACCUACCCAUAACUGGGGGAUAGCCCGGGGAAACCCGGAUUAACUACCCCGUAACAUAGUGAAGCGGCAUCGCUUUAUUAUUAUAGUUCCGGCGUUAUGGAUGGGCGUGCGCCUGAUUAGGUAGUUGGCGGGGUAACGCCCACAAGCCUACGAUCAGUAACUGGUGUGAGAGCACGACCAGUCACACGGGCACUGAGACACGGGCCCGACUCCUACGGGAGGCAGCAGUAAGGAAUUAUUGGUCAAUGGACGCAAGUCUGAACCAGCCAU